This 492-nucleotide ribosomal RNA is filed under the name uncultured bacterium. RNAcentral's name for it is "partial 16S ribosomal RNA". It matches the Rfam family "Bacterial small subunit ribosomal RNA", at positions 29 to 507 of the family's 1533-position model. The record is from RNAcentral.
AGUGAACGCUGGCGGUAGGCCUAACACAUGCAAGUCGAACGGCAGCACAGUAAGAGCUUGCUCUUACGGGUGGCGAGUGGCGGACGGGUGAGGAAUACAUCGGAAUCUACUUUUUCGUGGGGGAUAACGUAGGGAAACUUACGCUAAUACCGCAUACGACCUACGGGUGAAAGCAGGGGAUCUUCGGACCUUGCGCGAUUGCAUGAGCCGAUGUCGGAUUAGCUAGUUGGCGGGGUAAAGGCCCACCAAGGCGACGAUCCGUAGCUGGUCUGAGAGGAUGAUCAGCCACCCUGGAACUGAGACACGGUCCAGACUCCUACGGGAGGCAGCAGUGGGGAAUAUUGGACAAUGGGCGCAAGCCUGAUCCAGCCAUACCGCGUGGGUGAAGAAGGCCUUCGGGUUGUAAAGCCCUUUUGUUGGGAAAGAAAAGCAGCAGGUUAAUACCCCGCUGUUCUGACGGUACCCAAAGAAUAAGCACCGGCUAACUUCGUG